RNAcentral lists this ribosomal RNA (410 nucleotides) under uncultured Corynebacterium sp. RNAcentral describes it as "bacterial SSU rRNA". It matches the Rfam family "Bacterial small subunit ribosomal RNA", at positions 355 to 776 of the family's 1533-position model. Lineage: Bacteria; Bacillati; Actinomycetota; Actinomycetes; Mycobacteriales; Corynebacteriaceae. The record is from RNAcentral.
UGGGGAAUAUUGCACAAUGGGCGCAAGCCUGAUGCAGCGACGCCGCGUGGGGGAUGACGGCCUUCGGGUUGUAAACUCCUUUCGCUAGGGACGAAGCGCAAGUGACGGUACCUGGAGAAGAAGCACCGGCUAACUACGUGCCAGCAGCCGCGGUAAUACGUAGGGUGCGAGCGUUGUCCGGAAUUACUGGGCGUAAAGAGCUCGUAGGUGGUUUGUCGCGUCGUUUGUGUAAGCCCGCAGCUUAACUGCGGGACUGCAGGCGAUACGGGCAUAACUUGAGUGCUGUAGGGGAGACUGGAAUUCCUGGUGUAGCGGUGGAAUGCGCAGAUAUCAGGAGGAACACCGAUGGCGAAGGCAGGUCUCUGGGCAGUAACUGACGCUGAGGAGCGAAAGCAUGGGUAGCGAACAGG